AGCAGCCGCGGUAAUUCCAGCUCCAAUAGCGUAUAUUAAAGUUGUUGCAGUUAAAAAGCUCGUAGUUGAACUUCGGGGUUUACCCAUUGGUCAGGCUUAAUUGUCUGUACUGGUGAGAUGAAUCUCUACCUUCUGAGGAACUUUCAUGCCAUUUAUUUGGUGUGAUGGGAAAUCAGGACUGUUACUUUGAAAAAUUAGAGUGUUUAAAGCAGGCUAACGUCUGAAUACAUUAGCAUGGAAUAAUGAAAUAGGGCGGAUUGAUUCUAUUUCGUUGGUUUCUAGGAUCACCGUAAUGAUUAAUAGGGAUAGUUGGGGGCAUUAGUAUACAAUUGUCAGAGGUGAAAUUCUUGGAUUUAUUGAAGACUAACUACUGCGAAAGCAUUUGCCAAGGAUGUUUUCAUUAAUCUAAGAACGAAAGUUAGGGGAUCGAAGACGAUCAGAUACCGUCGU
RNAcentral lists this ribosomal RNA (450 nucleotides) under uncultured Diversispora. RNAcentral's name for it is "SSU rRNA". It matches the Rfam family "Eukaryotic small subunit ribosomal RNA", at positions 569 to 1021 of the family's 1831-position model. Lineage: Eukaryota; Fungi; Glomeromycota; Glomeromycetes; Diversisporales; Diversisporaceae. The record is from RNAcentral.